GUCCCGUUGGCCGAGCAGCCGAGGCGGCGGUUUGCAGAACCGCAGAGGCUGGUGCAACUCCAGCACGGGACUCCA
Molecule: transfer RNA, 75 nt
Filed under: Verrucomicrobiota bacterium
Lineage: Bacteria; Pseudomonadati; Verrucomicrobiota
Description: Verrucomicrobia bacterium (groundwater metagenome) tRNA-Cys
Rfam family: tRNA
About the family: Transfer RNA (tRNA) molecules are approximately 80 nucleotides in length.
Source: RNAcentral